RNAcentral lists this ribosomal RNA (429 nucleotides) under Gemmatimonadota bacterium. Its description in RNAcentral is "Gemmatimonadetes bacterium partial 16S ribosomal RNA". It matches the Rfam family "Bacterial small subunit ribosomal RNA", at positions 355 to 776 of the family's 1533-position model. The record is from RNAcentral. Lineage: Bacteria; Pseudomonadati; Gemmatimonadota.
UAGGGAAUCUUCGGCAAUGGACGAAAGUCUGACCGAGCAACGCCGCGUGAGUGAAGAAGGUUUUCGGAUCGUAAAACUCUGUUGUUAGAGAAGAACAAGGACGUUAGUAACUGAACGUCCCCUGACGGUAUCUAACCAGAAAGCCACGGCUAACUACGUGCCAGCAGCCGCGGUAAUACGUAGGUGGCAAGCGUUGUCCGGAUUUAUUGGGCGUAAAGCGAGCGCAGGCGGUUUCUUAAGUCUGAUGUGAAAGCCCCCGGCUCAACCGGGGAGGGUCAUUGGAAACUGGGGGACUUGAGUGCAGAAGAGGAGAGUGGAAUUCCGUGUGUAGCGGUGAAAUGCGUAGAUAUAUGGAGGAACACCAGUGGCGAAGGCGGCUCUCUGGUAUGUAACUGACGAUGAGGCUCGAAAGCGUGGGGAGCAAACAGG